UGCACUUAUAUUAACGCUGACUCGCUCCUCUGCUCACCAGACACCAGUGUUGGCCGCUUUCAAAGCAGUAAAGGCCCACGCCACUCUAUAAAGGUGGCAAUCUUCAAAAACAACCUCUGAGCACCAUAACUUGGGAGUACGUAGAGACAGCUACUGCCUUGCUGUUUCUACCGUCGCAGAGAAAAGUUACGUCCCUGCAGCGGUACAGAUCUUGGCACGUUACCCAAGAAUUGUGUGCUCUACAAGCCUGUUUCACGGAGCCAGCGAAGGAUCCCAAACGCAAAACUCCCUCUGCUGCACACCUCUCCAAGACGGCCGUCGUCUUAGAGCAAGACUCCAGGCUCAGUCUGCACCGCCCCACGGAAACACCGCCGCUGCUCCACCGAUACUCAAAUCAUAUUGCCAUUUGAAUUUCAAGUCAUUUUUCUUUUUUCUUGUGUUUGUGCUGUCAGAAAAAUUUCUCAUCAAAAAAUGAUGAGAUCGGCCUUUGUAAAAUCCACCUGGAUUGGACCUUUCGGGAGAGCUGAGGACUUGGUUCGACAAAUACAACAAAGGUGGAUAAUGGAAGGAACAGUAAGGAAAAUAACUAUAAAAACUAGACAGUGGAGAGGUAAAACUAUCAUACAAGGGUUUCAGGUCUGUGUUAGAGAUGGAGGAGCUAGAGCUUUUGGAAUGAAUUACAAUGAUCUGUACAGCACGGUAACCUUUACUAUCCCUGAUGGCAGACAAAUCAGCAAAGUGUGCAUCGAGUCUGAUGCUUACAUACACUCUCUUGGUUUCAUACUUGACAAUGGUGAUGUCCUAGGGCCUGUCGGAACAACAAACCAAACCAAUGAGAAAACUAUACCUGAACACUGCGAUGACCUCAAGAGUGUAGCGCUGUGUGGAAUAUCAGGUAUUACGGUUCGUAGUGAAAAAGCUCCAGUUAUUUCCAAUGUCAAGUUUAAUUUUCAGCAUUAACUAUUCUGAAAUUGAAGAACAACAAACAGCAAACAAUUUCUUGAUUGGUAAAUAUUGUGUUUCUUAUAUAUGACGGUACAUUACGUUAAUAUUGUCAUGUUCCUACCAUUGCAACAACAUUCAGCGUUGUCACAAUGCUUCCAAUUUUUGUUUGUCUCUUGUUGGCUAACAACUGCAUUAUUUACUUCAAAUUGUUGCGUUGUAAGAAUAAUGUUAUGUCUUAAUGUAUAAUUAGUAUUACUAUAUUUCAUUGUAACAUUUUAAUAAUAAUGUUAUGAUAUGUAAAGAUGUAAGAAAAUUUUGCCAGUACCAAGACAUGAAACUUGAGCCGCAUGCCUUGCCUUGGACACCUCAGUGAGAGAAGCUGUCGGACGUACUGAUCCCUACUACUCGUGUCACUGCACUCAGUGACUUGGAGUGUUGUUUCCACCUCACAACAUUAAAGAGACCCUUUUGCCAUCCGCAUCCUCCACCCCAGUCAACCAAUAGAAACUGAUAGACCUAAUGCAAAUGUAAACUGCAGUGCUUAUUACUCCGUCCUGAUACCUGCAUUGGGUAAAGAUAUAUAUUGCCAUGCUUAGAGGCGUUUGUUGUGUAAUAUUUGUAAUAGUGUUUGUAAACUAUGUAAAAUGCAUGGGAAUGUUAACCCUAUUUGUAGAUGUAGUUUUGUUCAAAGCAAAAUGUUACAAAUUAAGGUAUAAAAUGGGAUGUAACUCAGGUAGAGAGAGAACACAAGACAAGAGAGCAGAAGCCGAGCGGUACCAAACUCCUGACUUGAGAGGAGUUAGGAGGGAAAUCAGAGGCGACACGGACAAAAUUACUGUUGUAUUAGUAAGUGGAAUUUGAAAAUUGGUGCUGCAGUCUAGAUAGAUUGUUGUCUCAUGGAGGUUAAAGGAGGAAAUAAUCUGUAGGAUGUUAUAUUGUUAAGUUGUAUUAGAUUUAAGAUUUGUCUUUCAUUUUUUAAAUGUUUGUGAGAUCUUUGACUCUGAAUUUUGAUGAUGAAUUAUUUUUGACAAGAAACUGGUGAUAUUGUGAGUCAAGCAUAUGGAAAGUUCAUCAGCCAGAUGCUGAAGUAAUUACUGACGAAUAUCAGUGUAUGUAAUUACAAUUAAAUUAAAUUAGAAAAUUUUA
Molecule: RNA transcript, 2091 nt
Organism: Portunus trituberculatus (swimming crab)
Lineage: Eukaryota; Metazoa; Arthropoda; Malacostraca; Decapoda; Portunidae
Gene name: putative mediator of RNA polymerase II transcription subunit 17
Exons: 3
Source: RefSeq, a predicted model, not a curated record